CCCUUAGAUGUCCUGGGCUGCACGCGCGCUACACUGAUGUGUCCAGUAAGCACCUAACCUCUUCCGAAAGGAACGGGUAACCUUUGCAACGCACAUCGUGAUGGGGAUAGAUUAUUGCAAUUAUUAGUCUUGAACGAGGAAUUCCUAGUAAGCACAAGUCAUCAGCUUGUGUUGAUUACGUCCCUGCCCUUUGUACACACCGCCCGUCGCUCCUACCGAUUGAAUGUUCCGGUGAGCUCUUCGGACUGCGCGGUCUGCAGUUUCUGCGUUCCGUGCGGAAAGUUGCGCAAACCUUAACAUUUAGAGGAAGGAGAAGUCGUAACA
RNAcentral lists this ribosomal RNA (324 nucleotides) under uncultured eukaryote. RNAcentral describes it as "partial 18S ribosomal RNA". It matches the Rfam family "Eukaryotic small subunit ribosomal RNA", at positions 1470 to 1796 of the family's 1831-position model. The record is from RNAcentral.